GUUAGGAAUAUUGGACAAUGGGCGCAAGCCUGAUCCAGCCAUGCCGCGUGAACGAUGAAGGCCUUCGGGUUGUAAACUGCUUUUGUACGGAACGAAAAGGCUCUGGUUAAUACCUGGGGCACAUGACGGUACCGUAAGAAUAAGCACCGGCUAACUACGUGCCAGCAGCCGCGGUAAUACGUAGGGUGCAAGCGUUAAUCGGAAUUACUGGGCGUAAAGCGUGCGCAGGCGGUGCUGUAAGACAGGCGUGAAAUCCCCGGGCUUAACCUGGGAAUGGCGCUUGUGACUGCAGUGCUGGAGUGUGGCAGAGGGGGAUGGAAUUCCGCGUGUAGCAGUGAAAUGCGUAGAUAUGCGGAGGAACACCGAUGGCGAAGGCAGUCCCCUGGGCCUGUACUGACGCUCAUGCACGAAAGCGUGGGGAGCAAACAGGAUUAGAAACCCGGGUAGUCC
RNAcentral lists this ribosomal RNA (450 nucleotides) under uncultured bacterium. Its description in RNAcentral is "partial 16S ribosomal RNA". It matches the Rfam family "Bacterial small subunit ribosomal RNA", at positions 354 to 796 of the family's 1533-position model. The record is from RNAcentral.